RNAcentral lists this small nuclear RNA (133 nucleotides) under Stegodyphus mimosarum. RNAcentral's name for it is "U4 spliceosomal RNA". It matches the Rfam family "U4 spliceosomal RNA". From Rfam's summary of the family: U4 small nuclear RNA (U4 snRNA) is a component of the major U2-dependent spliceosome. The structure of U4 snRNA from yeast and human has been reported. Lineage: Eukaryota; Metazoa; Arthropoda; Arachnida; Araneae; Eresidae. The record is from Rfam by way of RNAcentral.
AGCUUUGCGCAGAGGCAGUGUCAUAGCCCGUGAGGUUCUACCGAGGCGUGACUAUUGCUAGUUGAAAACCUUAUAACUUCUAUUACAUUUUAAUUUACAAUGUGAUGCUUUGCAGAAUCAUUAGGUUUAUGAU